Molecule: long non-coding RNA, 597 nt
Filed under: Elaeis guineensis (African oil palm)
Lineage: Eukaryota; Viridiplantae; Streptophyta; Magnoliopsida; Arecales; Arecaceae
Description: long non-coding RNA (EGUI_LNC052931)
Source: RNAcentral
AUUUCUCAUACAUGGUCAUGUCGAGCCUUUUAAGCUCCUUAUUAUCCUUGACCAUCAUCAAAUAAUGAUCAUAGACUAACUGCCCAUCGUGCAUCUCGUAUGCUGUAUGACUAUGAUCAUCUCACAAUAUUUGUAGAUGAAUCAAUAUAUCGUUGGUAGUGAACAUGUGCUCAUACAUACGUUGAAGUUCAUCUAACAUGGACUUCAACAUAUAGCACCUAUCUUUAUUAUUAUUAUCCAUCCACUCAUCAAGUAUAGCUCAUUAACUUUGGAUUGGACAGACUAUUAACAUUAGAAUAAUUUGGUAGAGAGCAUUGCUUAAUUUUUUAAAAUUAAGAAUGAUUCUUAAGUUUGUGAGCCAAUCUAUGUAAUUGGUUUUGGUUAAAUGGUUGAUAUCUAGGAUUCAAGCUAAAUGGUUGGAACCUGAUACAAUAAAUAAUAGAGAACAAAGAUUCUAGUUGGAUGUUUGUACUUAUUUCAUAAUUUACUCUAGAGACUUUUAGAUACAAAAAAACUACUCAUUAUUUUAUUAGAUCUCCCACACUCUUCGAGUGGAGAAACAAAAAUUCUAAUGCGAUAACUAAAUUUUUAGUGGGC